Long non-coding RNA from Suricata suricatta (meerkat), 271 nucleotides. RefSeq lists it as uncharacterized. The record is from RefSeq and is a predicted model, not a curated record. Lineage: Eukaryota; Metazoa; Chordata; Mammalia; Carnivora; Herpestidae. The transcript is spliced from 3 exons.
GCCCUAACUGGGAUUAUAACACAGGAGAAGGCCUGGAUCCUCAGUCUAAGAAACCUUUGUCCCAAGGUGGCUAAGAGUUUGAGGGACAUGUCAGAAGUAUGGCUGAUGGACCAGAUGUGAUGGGAAGGGCCGGACUCACCCCAGGAACACCUCCUCCAACAUGUUAGCAGGACAGCUAAGUGGACACAGGUUCCAUGAGAAAUCUUUGGGAGUGGCUGGUUGGAGCAUAUGUGCGGAUGGAUUGAGCAACCUACGUAACACUCCGGCCAAA